This 467-nucleotide ribosomal RNA is filed under the name uncultured bacterium. Its description in RNAcentral is "bacterial SSU rRNA". It matches the Rfam family "Bacterial small subunit ribosomal RNA", at positions 355 to 825 of the family's 1533-position model. The record is from RNAcentral.
UAGGGAAUAUUGGACAAUGGGUGAGAGCCUGAUCCAGCCAUGCCGCGUGCAGGAAGAAGGCGUUAUGCGUUGUAAACUGCUUUUUGCCAGGGGAUAAAAAGACCGUGCGCGGUUAAUUGAAGGUACCUGGUGAAUAAGCCACGGCUAACUACGUGCCAGCAGCCGCGGUAAUACGUAGGUGGCAAGCGUUAAUCGGAAUUACUGGGCGUAAAGCGUGCGCAGGCGGUUAUGCAAGACAGAUGUGAAAUCCCCGGGCUCAACCUGGGAACUGCAUUUGUGACUGUAUAGCUAGAGUACGGUAGAGGGGGAUGGAAUUCCGCGUGUAGCAGUGAAAUGCGUAGAUAUGCGGAGGAACACCGAUGGCGAAGGCAACUUUCUGGUCUGUAACUGACGCUGAUGUGCGAAAGCGUGGGGAUCAAACAGGAUUAGAUACCCCAGUAGUCCCUGAGCGGGCUGGCAAGGCGCAU